AUGGCUGACGAGUCCCAAAUGGGACGAAAUGCGCAUCCUGGAU
This 43-nucleotide non-coding RNA is filed under the name Trichobilharzia regenti. Lineage: Eukaryota; Metazoa; Platyhelminthes; Trematoda; Strigeidida; Schistosomatidae. The record is from RNAcentral.